Molecule: ribosomal RNA, 499 nt
Filed under: uncultured bacterium
Lineage: Bacteria
Description: bacterial SSU rRNA
Rfam family: Bacterial small subunit ribosomal RNA
Source: RNAcentral
CGUGCUUAACACAUGCAAGUCGAACGAGAGGAGAAGGAAGACUUGCUUCUUUCAAAUCUAGUGGCAAACGGGUGAGUAACACGUAAACAACCUGCCUUCAGGAUGGGGACAACAGACGGAAACGACUGCUAAUACCGAAUACGUUCCUUAGGUCGCAUGACUUUAGGAAGAAAGGGUGGCCUCUACUUGUAAGCUAUCGCCUGAAGAGGGGUUUGCGUCUGAUUAGGUAGUUGGUGAGGUAACGGCCCACCAAGCCGACGAUCAGUAGCCGGGUCUGAGAGGAUGAACGGGCCACACUGGAACUGAGACACGGCCCAGACUCCUACGGGAGGCAGCAGUGGGGAAUCUUCCGCAAUGGGCGAAAGCCUGACGGAGCAAUGCCGCGUGAGUGAUGAAGGAAUUCGUUCCGUAAAGCUCUUUUGUUUAUGACGAAUGUGCAGACUGUGAAUAAUGGUUUGUAAUGACGGUAGUAAACGAAUAAGCCACGGCUAACUACGUG